AAUAGAUACCCGGUAGUCCACGCCGUAAACGAUGAGUGCUAAGUGUUAGAGGGUUUCCGCCCUUUAGUGCUGCAGCAAACGCAUUAAGCACUCCGCCUGGGGAGUACGGCCGCAAGGCUGAAACUCAAAGGAAUUGACGGGGGCCCGCACAAGCGGUGGAGCAUGUGGUUUAAUUCGAAGCAACGCGAAGAACCUUACCAGGUCUUGACAUCUCCUGACAACCCUAGAGAUAGGGCGUUCCCCUUCGGGGGACAGGAUGACAGGUGGUGCAUGGUUGUCGUCAGCUCGUGUCGUGAGAUGUUGGGUUAAGUCCCGCAACGAGCGCAACCCUUGAUCUUAGUUGCCAGCAUUCAGUUGGGCACUCUAAGGUGACUGCCGGUGACAAACCGGAGGAAGGUGGGGAUGACGUCAAAUCAUCAUGCCCCUUAUGACCUGGGCUACACACGUGCUACAAUGGAUGGUACAAAGGGCUGCGAGACCGCGAGGUUAAGCGAAUCCCAUAAAACCAUUCUCAGUUCGGAUUGCAGGCUG
Molecule: ribosomal RNA, 531 nt
Filed under: uncultured bacterium
Lineage: Bacteria
Description: bacterial SSU rRNA
Rfam family: Bacterial small subunit ribosomal RNA
Source: RNAcentral